RNAcentral lists this ribosomal RNA (372 nucleotides) under uncultured organism. Its description in RNAcentral is "bacterial SSU rRNA". It matches the Rfam family "Bacterial small subunit ribosomal RNA", at positions 526 to 896 of the family's 1533-position model. The record is from RNAcentral.
CGGAGGGGGCAAGCGUUGUCCGGAAUUACUGGGCGUAAAGCGCUCGUAGGCGGUCGCAUACGGCGGUGGUGAAAGCUCCCGGCUCAACUGGGAGAGGCCCGCCGCAACGGUGCGACUCGAGGAUGGUAGAGGCAGAUGGAAUUCCUGGUGUAGCGGUGAAAUGCGUAGAGAUCAGGAGGAACACCCAUGGCGAAGGCAGUCUGCUGGGCCACACCUGACGCUGAGGAGCGAAAGCUAGGGGAGCGAACGGGAUUAGAUACCCCGGUAGUCCUAGCCGUAAACGAUGGAUACUAGGUGUCAGCGGUAUCGACCCCGCUGGUGCCGGAGCUAACGCGUGAAGUAUCCCGCCUGGGGAGUACGGCCGCAAGGUUG